Molecule: ribosomal RNA, 386 nt
Filed under: uncultured bacterium
Lineage: Bacteria
Description: bacterial SSU rRNA
Rfam family: Bacterial small subunit ribosomal RNA
Source: RNAcentral
GACGAACGCUGGCGGCGUGCCUAACACAUGCAAGUCGAGCGGAGACAGUGAGUAGCUUGCUAUGAGCUGUUUUAGCGGCGGACGGGUGAGUAACGCGUGAGCAACCUUUCCCAGACAGGGGAAUAACACACCGAAAGGUGUACUAAUACCGCAUAAGACCACGGUUUCACAUGGGACUGGGGUAAAAGAUUUAUCGGUUUGGGGUGGGCUCGCGUCCGAUUAGGUAGUUGGUGAGGUAACGGCCCACCAAGCCGACGAUCGGUAGCCGACCUGAGAGGGUGAUCGGCCACAUUGGGACUGAGACACGGCCCAAACUCCUACGGGAGGCAGCAGUGGGGAAUAUUGGGCAAUGGGGGGAACCCUGACCCAGCAACGCCGCGUGGAGG